GAGGGUGUAGCUCAGUCGCAGAGCCCGUGCUUAGCAUGCGUGAGGUCCUGGGUUCAGUCCCCAGUGCUUCCA
Molecule: transfer RNA, 72 nt
Filed under: Camelus bactrianus (Bactrian camel)
Lineage: Eukaryota; Metazoa; Chordata; Mammalia; Artiodactyla; Camelidae
Also listed under: 2 other names
Rfam family: tRNA
About the family: Transfer RNA (tRNA) molecules are approximately 80 nucleotides in length. Their secondary structure includes four short double-helical elements and three loops (D, anti-codon, and T loops). Further hydrogen bonds mediate the characteristic L-shaped molecular structure. tRNAs have two regions of fundamental functional importance: the anti-codon, which is responsible for specific mRNA codon recognition, and the 3' end, to which the tRNAs corresponding amino acid is attached (by aminoacyl-tRNA synthetases). tRNAs cope with the degeneracy of the genetic code in two manners: having more than one tRNA (with a specific anti-codon) for a particular amino acid; and 'wobble' base-pairing, i.e. permitting non-standard base-pairing at the 3rd anti-codon position.
Source: Rfam by way of RNAcentral